CCCAAUCAGCCACUUUCUCUCUCUUCAUUGUGAUUAGACCUUCUCACUUCUUUCUCUCACGGUGAACACCGACGAUGUCACUUCCCGGCGACAUCUCGUCAUUGUCCGGCCAUUUCAGGCUGCACCACAUUUACGACAAACAUUCAUCUCUUCCUCCUUUGAAAAAACCCAACCCAUAUCCAACCUUAAAAUCGAGUGGAUAGCAAGAUCUUUCAAUCCAAAAACAUGCCAAAAACAGUUUCAAUCAUCACCGAAUUUUUAGAGCUCGGAUCGGCGGUUCCGACCACCUUUGGUCAUGCUUCCUUCACCAAAAAUACUCCCCAACCUCCCCUUUAUCUUUUCCCUCAAACACCCGAACUUUUACUUUGUAGGAAAAGCCCAAUUGAUGCCAAAGAAAUUCUAGGGUUUUCUCGUCGGAAAACCUCCAAAUACGGCCACUUCUAGCCACAUCCGAGCAUCGAUGCAGGUUCCCAAGCACAGCCUACUGCUUCAGAUGCACCUAACCUGGGUUGAGUUUGCUUGGACUCUAAGUGAUUGGACGUUUGUUUUCUAAUCAAUUUUAUGAAAUAUUGGAUUUAUGAAUGUUAUGCUUAAUCUUUUACUUUCCAAGCAUGUUAUAUAUGAUUUAUAUUCAGAUUUGGAUCAAGAACUAUUUUGAAUGUUAUGCAUGUUCUUAAAUAAUGAAAGGCUUGGAAAGUUGAGAAAGGAUUUGGGAAGAGAUUUUAGAAAUGAUGUGAGCAACAAUUGUAGGGGAAGGAUAUAUGGCAAGUUCAUGAUUGGUUUUCAAAUCUACCUUAUGUACCAUAUUUGGUUGCCUUUGGAUAAUGACAUGUCUUCGGACAUGAUUACCCGUCGAGGGACUCAACAUCAUCCCUAUUGCUAUGUCAAGAG
RNAcentral lists this long non-coding RNA (891 nucleotides) under Prunus dulcis (almond). RNAcentral's name for it is "sRNA ncRNA". The record is from RNAcentral. Lineage: Eukaryota; Viridiplantae; Streptophyta; Magnoliopsida; Rosales; Rosaceae.